UAUUUUCUCUUCUACAAUGUAUGUAUCUUCUCUCUUCUUUCAGAUUGGCUCCCUGUAUGCUUGUCAGUUACAUGGCAGGUGGCAUGAACGACCUUCCCACAUCAAGCCCCAGUUGCAGGCGUUGGGUAUUUUGUUCCAGCCACGAGAAGCUGAUCGAUACAUACCCUAGCAGAAACACAACGAAUGGUGACACACCAACUACUCACCUCUC
Molecule: long non-coding RNA, 211 nt
Organism: Fukomys damarensis (Damara mole-rat)
Lineage: Eukaryota; Metazoa; Chordata; Mammalia; Rodentia; Bathyergidae
Exons: 3
Source: RefSeq, a predicted model, not a curated record